CCAUGGACAAUGAUUGCUUCAACACCGCCGUGCGUAUGCUGGCAUGUGACGAGGGAGUACUGUUCACAGACCCUCCUGUACACUACAUGGAUCUACGAUUUUGUUCCAUGAUGCUAGAGUCAACACGAGGUCAGAAGUUUUGCGAGAAGGAAACUAUCCAGACGUUGGCAACAUUAUUUGAUAGCUGGCCUGGGAUGGACAACGACAUCUCAUCGUGCAACAAGGAAUGUGUCUGGCUAUUUUGUUUUUCAUUUUAUGCUCUGGUGGAACGGUAAAGAAUUGGUCAAGCCGAUUUGCCCGGUGAGUUUUGUCCGUUACAUGUUUUAAGACCUUCGGCGU
Long non-coding RNA from Triticum aestivum (bread wheat), 339 nucleotides. RefSeq lists it as uncharacterized. The record is from RefSeq and is a predicted model, not a curated record. Lineage: Eukaryota; Viridiplantae; Streptophyta; Magnoliopsida; Poales; Poaceae. The transcript has 3 exons.